RNAcentral lists this ribosomal RNA (247 nucleotides) under uncultured bacterium. RNAcentral describes it as "partial 16S ribosomal RNA". It matches the Rfam family "Bacterial small subunit ribosomal RNA", at positions 15 to 258 of the family's 1533-position model. The record is from RNAcentral.
GAUCCUGGCUCAGAUUGAACGCUGGCGGCAGGCUUAACACAUGCAAGUCGAACGGUAACAUAAAGGAGCUUGCUUCUUUGAUGACGAGUGGCGGACGGGUGAGUAAUGCUUGGGAAUCUAGCUUAUGGAGGGGGAUAACUACGGGAAACUGUAGCUAAUACCGCGUAGAAUCGGGAGAUGAAAGUGUGGGACCUUCGGGCCACAUGCCAUAGGAUGAGCCCAAGUGGGAUUAGGUAGUUGGUGAGGG